Molecule: long non-coding RNA, 1150 nt
Organism: Anolis carolinensis (green anole)
Lineage: Eukaryota; Metazoa; Chordata; Lepidosauria; Squamata; Anolidae
Exons: 2
Source: RefSeq, a predicted model, not a curated record
GGAAAAUACCUACAGACUGUAUAUUGCCUGCUCAGUAAUCUCUCAAAAAAUAGAAGAGGUUUGUAUGUGGUUUUUGCUAUAGAUUAAGCCCACUGUCCCCAAGGAUACAGCUGGCAGCUGUCAUAAGAGAAAAUAAGAGGAGAAAUUAUAUUAGCCAAGGAACAACAGGCCAGAUGAACAAGAUAAAAAUAGAUUAGAGAAAAAGAAAUGGGAGGUAUAACAGCUUUGGUGCAGGUGUGAAUUGCUGUUCCUUGGUGUUACAUCUCAGUAAACAGAAAAGAUGCUUGUUGGAGUGUGGCUGCUUUCCAAUCGGGGGGGGAAGGACGUGCUGCGACUGGCAAUGGGACGAACUCUCUUUCAGAGGGCAAAGGGAAAGGGCAACAGCAAUGAUUGCAGUACAGAUCGAAUGGGAGAAGAACAGUUGCAGGUGCCAGAAGAUAUUGGCUCUGGAGACUUACUAAUUGGAGAAGAUUCUUCUAUUCCUCCCUCGCAGAUAGAGCCAGAUGUUGCUGAGACGCCUGGGAAAGGGGUUUUUAAUCAUAGAGAUUUUGUAAAUAGAGAAAGAAGUGUAAAACAAGGAAUCCGCCGGAGCCAGAGACUGGCAAAUAGAUGGGAUAAUGGUUAGCGUUCCCUUUGGAAAGUUUUGGGAGUUUGUACUCCCUAAAUUCUGAACAUCCCAGAAUCUGUUAAAAGUGUUUUGCUCGGUAGAUUUCCUUGCGGUGUCAAUGUUGCUUUCUUGGAGAGAGGUUUCUCCGUUUCCAGCUCCUGUUUCCAAGCCAAGUAUUCCAGUUUCCAGUCGGGCCGUGCCGUGCCGUGACUCUCGAGUAGACCUUGACUUUACUUCAGUUGUUAUUCCUUGUUCCUGUUUCAAGUUUGCCUCAGCGUUGACAACUUUGCUGCCUUGAUUGCUACAAAGUUUUUCCAGUGGAUUGAACUCUGUUUCCUGCCAGCCUUGUUUCCCUGUUUUAACUCAUGUACUUUGAUUUCUUGGGAGAGCUAUCGAGUUCUCAUUGUGGAUUAUAAUAUCGGACCUUUCCCUUUACCCUUUUGGAACCAUCAUUGACUUUCUAAAAAUAACUAUUCCUUACUCAGACUUUAUACCUAAUUUCCUUUGGAUUUAUAAUUGCUUUAAUAAAGAUAUAGUAUGUUA